GGUCAAGCGAACAAGUGCAUGUGGUGGAUGCCUUGGCGAUCACAGGCGAUGAAGGACGCGGUAGCCUGCGAAAAGCCCCGGGGAGCUGGCAAACAAGCUUUGAUCCGGGGAUGUCCGAAUGGGGAAACCCACUCCUUUUGGAGUAUCCAUGACUGAAUACAUAGGUCAUGUGAAGCGAACGCGGUGAACUGAAACAUCUAAGUAACCGCAGGAAAAGAAAUCAACCGAGAUUCCCAAAGUAGUGGCGAGCGAAAUGGGAUGAGCCUUGUACUCUUUAUUUGUAUUGUUAGCCGAACGCUCUGGAAAGUGCGGCCAUAGCAGGUGAUAGCCCUGUAGGCGAAAACAGUAUGAAAGAACUAGGUGUACGACAAGUAGGGCGGGACACGUGAAAUCCUGUCUGAAGAUGGGGGGACCAUCCUCCAAGGCUAAAUACUCGUGAUCGACCGAUAGUGAACCAGUACCGUGAGGGAAAGGCGAAAAGAACCCCGGGAGGGGAGUGAAAUAGAUCCUGAAACCGCAUGCAUACAAACAGUCGGAGCCUCGUAAGGGGUGACGGCGUACCUUUUGUAUAAUGGGUCAGCGACUUACGUUCAGUAGCAAGCUUAACCGUAUAGGGCAGGCGUAGCGAAAGCGAGUCCGAAUAGGGCGUUCAGUUGCUGGGCGUAGACCCGAAACCAGGUGAUCUAUCCAUGGCCAGGAUGAAGGUGCGGUAACACGUACUGGAGGUCCGAACCCACUAACGUUGAAAAGUUAGGGGAUGAGCUGUGGAUAGGGGUGAAAGGCUAAACAAACCUGGAAAUAGCUGGUUCUCUCCGAAAACUAUUUAGGUAGUGCCUCGUGUCUCACCUUCGGGGGUAGAGCACUGUCAUGGUUGGGGGGUCUAUUGCAGAUUACCCCGCCAUAGCAAACUCCGAAUACCGAAGAGUGCAAUCACGGGAGACAGACAUCGGGUGCUAACGUCCGGUGUCAAGAGGGAAACAACCCAGACCGCCAGCUAAGGUCCCCAAAUAUGGCUAAGUGGGAAACGAAGUGGGAAGGCUAAAACAGUCAGGAGGUUGGCUUAGAAGCAGCCACCCUUUAAAGAAAGCGUAAUAGCUCACUGAUCGAGUCGUCCUGCGCGGAAGAUGUAACGGGGCUAAGCCAUAUACCGAAGCUGCGGAUGCGUGCUUGCACGCAUGGUAGGAGAGCGUUCCGUAAGCCUGCGAAGGUGCCUUGUAAAGGGUGCUGGAGGUAUCGGAAGUGCGAAUGCUGACAUGAGUAGCGAUAAAGGGGGUGAAAGGCCCCCUCGCCGUAAGCCCAAGGUUUCCUACGCAACGUUCAUCGGCGUAGGGUGAGUCGGCCCCUAAGGCGAGGCAGAAAUGCGUAGCUGAUGGGAAGCAGGUCAAUAUUCCUGCACC
Molecule: ribosomal RNA, 1397 nt
Filed under: Burkholderia multivorans
Lineage: Bacteria; Pseudomonadati; Pseudomonadota; Betaproteobacteria; Burkholderiales; Burkholderiaceae
Description: partial 23S ribosomal RNA
Rfam family: Bacterial large subunit ribosomal RNA
Source: RNAcentral